UCAGAAACAUGGGCUUCUUCCUCGCAUUUGUGGUAACCUCGCGCCGACGACAUUGCCGGAGUUGCAGUGCUCGCCGCUAUCUCCCAUCUGCGCCCCCGCCUGCUGCUGCAACAGGAACGGCGCGGCUAUUUCGCCAACCCACCCCUGCUCGCCCGGCACCUUCCCUACCACUACCAGCCCAGCCAUCUUCCGCCUACCUCCGGCUUACCCUACAGUGGCGACCACCUCUGAGACUAAAUCUUGGUUAGCUCUGAGGAUUUUUCUUGCUUCUCUCUCUCCCCCAGGCAUGCAAGCUCUGCACUGAGUGAAUCCGCGUGGUGGAAAUACAUUUCGAUGCUCAAAAUUAUUAGCAUUCUGAAGCUCAAGUGCGCGUCAUUCCUGGAUUAUAAGCCCAGAGAGGAUCAGAAUGAUAGAGCUCUCAACUUCCAUGAGCUAUGUUUCAGACUUCAGAGUUUUCCUACUUAAUUUUGCUGAUGUCACGCCUGGACCAGGCUUGGCAUCUUCCAGAUGAGCUGAUGGACAAGACAAUGUUGUAGUUUCCUUUUCGCGGAAAGGGGCAUUGAUAGGAUCAGAAUGGGCGUGCUAAGCAUGGAUGAUUUGUGCAGGCCUCCGUCACUCAUGGUAUUUUCUUCAUCUUAAAUGUUUUGCAGAACACUACUUUUCUUCAUUCUUGUUUGGUGAUUACCAUUUCCAUACCACAUAGGAUGUUUACUUGGGUAAUCUUAUGCAAAAUUCUUGUUUCUUGCAUGAUUAUCACAACUGCGCCACGGUUAAAAUAAGAUGAGCAGGUGGCGUUUGGAUUUCACGUAUUUACUUAGGAGGGACAAUACGAUCAAUUUAUGCUUAGUGGGAGAAAGCAAAAUGGUCGCAACAGACAAGGGCACAUGAUGCUGGGUCGUAAAAUAGUCCUCUGUAUGGAAAAAAGUUUACACAGUAUCUCACAGUUCAGGGUAUUACAUUAAGGAUGCAUAUUCAGUAUAUCAUACUAAGUGUCUUCCUUAUUUUACUACUGUACAAGUAUAAUCACUGGCUCUCUGCACAACAUGGGGCUGGAUUGAGGAUCGGGACUUCUACGCAUUUUUUGCAAGCUAAAACAUGGUCGUAACUUUUCACACCAUCCAUUGUUCCACUGCUUUGGGGGUUCCAGCUGCUACUUGAAAUCAUAUUGCUUUGGAACUGCUAGGAAUGGCUUGAAGGUCAGCACAAGCCCAAUUACUUCGACUAGAUUCAAAAUCAGGAAUAUCAUUUGAUCCCCUGCAUGAAGAAAUAGAUCAUAUGUUAUUAUUUGCAAUUGCACAUGCCCAUGGUGAUUAAUUACAUGCGUACUGCACGGGACAAGUUUUUUUUUAACAAAUAACUGCUGUUGCUGAAAUAAGAAUGUAACCCAUAAAUUAUCAAACAUACCUGGAAAGAAAGCAGCAUGUUGGCGCUUUUGGGCCCAUGAGAACCUACAUUUGAAAUUUCCAAAUAUGAUAUGUUAUAGAUGGUAUAUGCAUACAUUAUGUGCAUAUGAACCUAAUAUCAAGUAAUAAUAGUAUAAGAGAAGAUGCUGGUAGGCUUACUAGUGACCAUAUGAUUUUAAUUUAGCUCUGGGCUUUAUUUAUUUUUACCAGACACAGCUCUGGCCUUUAUCAUUCUUAGUAUUAAUUGCCCAUGUGUUACUAAAUUUUAGAGUCCAGUCUUAUGUCCAAUCUGAUAAAGGAACUAGUUCUUUGAGAAGCUCCAUCAAGGUUCAGUAGGGUUCACAUGCUAUACGACUUUUACAUGUUAGCAUAUUGAUUGUGUUCAAAGAAGAUUUGGAUGGUUCACAGCGAUACUCACAGAACACCUGCUCCUGCUGGAGCAAUAGCCUUGAAGAGGGACAUUGCAGUUGUAGAUAUGCCAUUUGCAGCACCUCUUUGAUUUUGUGACUGUCGUUUCAGUAAACUGAGUUAGCUAACUUGAGAAGCAAUUGAGAGUAUAAAAGUCACACAAAUUGACUUGAUACUUACCACAGCACUGUUUUGCAGAAUACAAGUGCCCGUUAAGAUAGUUGUCUGAUCAAAUUUUUCAAAGAUGUAAAAUGUAAUGUUAGAAAGAAUGAUAGUGCUGUAUAAAAAAGCAAAUAACUUCUAUGUUGGCAUUUCUUCUAUUAUGGUCAAUUCUGUAUAUAUCCUGGACUAUAAUGUAAACCUUAUGGGAUUUCUCAAUCUGUAUAACCCUAUUGCUCAAAAUUGAUACAGCAUGUAUAGUAUUCUGUUUGAAAGAAAUAAAGUCAUGUUUGAGACAACGAGAUGGAAUUGUUGACACUUACGGCAAAAGCACCCUUUAUAACGGCAGCGAAAUAAAUGGCUAGUCCGAGUUUGGUCCCUGAUAGGUGUGUCAUGAAGGGGUAAGUAGCAAGAAGUGGUAUGGAUAGAGCCUGAAAUGGACAUGUGGAAUUGUUAAAAAAAAAGAGGAUAUGUAUAAGAAAUGUGAGUUUUGUGGGAAAUAGCUCGGUUACUCACAGCUGCAAUACGGGAUGAAAUGAUAGACCCAAGAUAUUUGUGCACGUGUCUAUAAACAAAUAUUUGAUACAAAAGAAGACCAGCACCUGACAUCAAAUGUGAAAUUAAUACUCAAAGUUCUUUAUUAUCAUAAUACACCACAAAUAGUUACUACUAGAAUUUAACCAGUAUAACAAUGAGACACAAUGUUCCCGAAUGGGUGGCAUUUAGUAUUAGAACUAGUUUUGAUUAGAAAGAAGUCUACAUUUUGGGCCUUUAACUUUGCCCCAAGUGCAUUUUGGUCCUAUAACUUUCAAACAGCCCGAAAUGAACCCGAAACUUACAAAACAGUUCACUUAUGAACCCUUGUCUGGUUUUCGAGCGGUUCCAGUUACCUACAUGAUUCGUAUGCGUACGGACUCCUACAGCCCAUAUAUGGCUCUGUGGCACUGUAGUUCAAAAAUAAAAAUAAAAUGAAAUUUAAAAGGAAAGGCGGCUUGGGCCAAUAUUUUGUACCAACAAUUUAUUUUUCUCUCUUCUCCUCUCUCUGUCAUACUUUCACAUCGUCGGUCCCUCACCUCACAUUGUUAUUGAACUUGCUCUUCAUAUCUAUGUGGCAAUCACAUCGGUAAAAUAUUUCAUGCCGCAUCAGCGAAAACCGCAUUGAAGUCAGUGGUUUGUCCAAAAGGGAAUAGUUUCGUGAGCUUAUGGUUCCCUUUGGACUGUUUGAAAGUUUUAGGGCCAAAAGUGAUCUAUUUUUUUUCUUUUGAUUAUAUCUGGUUUCAAAGUGCACCACUACAUGGAUGAAUGUUCCAUAAAUAUGAACAUCCUAGAGGCAAUCUUAAUAUUGUGGUGCACAUUUUAUAGCAUUGUAGUUGAAAUCAACUGCAUAAAUUAAAAUGUUAAUAUGUAAGAGAUGUUUAAUAAGAUUAUAUACACUGGUUAUAACCUAUACCUGAAACUGCAAGAACUUGGCCAACAUCUUUAGAUGAAAAGCUUAGUCCGCCAUACUUUUUUUCACUUACAGCCCACAAGGAAAAUAUCUGAUGCAAAAAAUAUAUAUGUUACUUAUUUAUUCAUUAGUUUGUAUGUUGUAAGGGGAACAUGAAUAGUAGUUACCUCACUGUAUGCUGUAUCAUGAAGGGUGAAAACACAAUAUGCAAUUAUAGAAGACAUCAACGGCCAGUUCUUGUAUAGACUCUUCUCUGGAUGUGGAACUUCUCUAUGGGGAGCAGCUCUUGAAUCACUAACCAUUUCUACUUCCCUUUCUAAGUUUUUAUGCAUAUGAAGUGUCUCCUGGUAGCAAAGUUCAGUCACAUAUUAAGAAAAUAAAUCUAGAUAACCAAGCAAUAACUGAUUAGAGACCAAUUGCAAAUGGACUACAGGGGCUCAACAAUUGAUACAUUUGUUUGCCCUUUGGCUUGUCUUAAUUUUAAUUUUAUCCCUUUCUCUAAAAAAAUAAAACCAAAUUUACGCCUAAUGUAGAAACCAAUAUAUAUUUACAUAUUAUGGAUAAUUAUUUAUUUCCCGCAUGAUGUUAGACCCCAAUUAAGUCCUCUAACUGUUCAGCAGUUCUCAGUUUUUCAGUUUUGGUCUGAAGUACAAAUGCUGCCUUUUCAGUAACAGGCAAUGCAUGGGAUUAGGAAAUACAUGUGUCCUAUCUGUUAUUGGCUCAGAUCUGGAUAGUAAUGGAAGUCGUGGUAUCAAUUCGGGCUGAAAAUGUGCCAAACAUUAUAACUACAAAACUUAAAAGAACCCUCUACAAGUUGAAGACUAGGAAUGGAUGUCUCAGAGUUAACCAAUAAGAGAAAUUCCAUUAGAUUAUACUGGCAAAGCUAUUAAUGGAAAAGGAAAAGCAUAGGGCAUAGUAUUAGUGGGAAUGUCACAUACCGGUAGCCAUAUGCAGCUUAUUAGGACAGCAAAGGCGAUCAGUGAAAUGAAAAGGCAUGGCAACAAAUAGGGAAACCUAAAAAAUGCAUAUAGUGUUAGUUUCAUGAAGUUGGCUCAUUAGAAUUAAAUAAAAGCUUAUUUACACUACAGUUUACCUCCCAAAAAUCGACUUCUCAGAAAAUAGGUUCGGAUAUUGCUUUGCAGGCUGACAAGCAAGUAAGAAAACAAGUGUGUUAGAAUAGGUAGUACAUUUAUUAAUAUUUGGAAAUGGGCAUUUCUGAACAGAUAGGUACCUGUGCUAAGUAGCCUCCAAUGGCUGGACCGACAACAAGACCUAUGCCCCAGCCCGUGCUUACCUGUACCCAAUGAAUAAAGUCAACUAGAGCAACUGGUAAAUUGUAAUGGUGAUGCAUGUAAAAAAGAAGAGUUAUAUGUUCAUUUACAACUGAUAAUCCUAGAGCAUGAUGUUCAGGUCGACAAACUUCAACUGAAUAGGCCUGUAAAAGUCAACAAUUAGUAUGACAUAACUGAUGCCAUGGUAUUAGUUGCUACCAUGACAUAACUGAUGCUAGAUUGGGCAAACUUGGAUACCUUUAUUGGGGCAAGCAUGCCAUUCAUAGAACCAAGGAGCAUUCUUGUGGCAAUCGCCAUCCAGUACUUUACACUUAGUCCAAAUAGAGUGUUAAAGAUGACCCUGAAAGAGGAUUGAUUACCGAGCUUAUAAAUUAGCUGCCACGUAAAAGUUAGCAUAUUUAUUUUGUUACAGCUAGCAGAAAAGUUUGCUCACACUGAGAACAUGGAGAAUGCAAUGAUAGGUUUUCUCCCAAUACGAUCUGCCACCACACCCCAGAAGAGCGAGGCGAAACAUCUGCCGACCAUGUACGAUGCACCUAUAUGACAUCGACAUCAGUAUACCAUAUCUUAAUCUGGGUGAGUAUAUAUGUUAGUGUUUGGAAGAAGAACUGCAGGAAUGUACUGGAACUCUGUCACAUGUUGUUGAUUCAAUGAGUUUUAGCAUUCUUACCAAGAAGACCAGCAUACACACCGAUAUCUUGUUCGUUUUUUGCCACAUGCAUAUCUUGUAUCUGUUGUCAAGGAAGGUCAAACUGAGUAAAGAAAUAAAAUGAGUGAUGUUUUAUCA
Triticum aestivum (bread wheat) is the source of this 5496-nucleotide long non-coding RNA. RefSeq lists it as uncharacterized. The transcript has 3 exons. The record is from RefSeq and is a predicted model, not a curated record. NCBI's taxonomy places the organism in Eukaryota, Viridiplantae, Streptophyta, Magnoliopsida, Poales, Poaceae.